This is a long non-coding RNA of Oncorhynchus gorbuscha (pink salmon), 756 nucleotides long. RefSeq lists it as uncharacterized. NCBI's taxonomy places the organism in Eukaryota, Metazoa, Chordata, Actinopteri, Salmoniformes, Salmonidae. The record is from RefSeq and is a predicted model, not a curated record. The transcript is spliced from 3 exons.
AUUGAUUGGACAUGAUUUGGAAAGGCACACACCUGUCUGUAUAAGGUCCCACAGUUGACAGUGCACCUCAAGCCAUGAGGUCUAAGGAAUUGUCUGUAGACCUCCAAGACAUGGAACAGGUCUCUGUGGGUUUUUCUGUCCAUGCAUUCAGGCCAUUAAGAUGGCAGAGAAAUACGGAGAGUGUUUCCUACUCUCUCAUGUUCCAUGGACACAUUUUAUGUUGCGAACCAGCAUUCGGGAGAGGUAUAACAUAGAGGGAACCAUUUGCGAUGACUGGUGUGUGACUGCUUUCUGCGGACCAUGUGUUCAAUGCCAAAUGGUUCGUGAAGUCAAUAAGGAGAUUCCUAACUGACAGAGCCGGAAAGUGAAUGCUGACCCACAAAGUGUUGUCUACCGCACCUUGUUAUGAAAAUGUUAAUUAAAUUGUUGCAGUGAGGACCCUCAAGUUUUUGUACAACAAACUUCUUAUGGUUACAUUAGGACUGCUGUCAUCUGAAGACUAUGCCUGCAAGUCAACAAACGUUUUAUGUUCCUCUGACUAUACAGCACUAUGUGAGCACAACCCUUUAUCAAAAUCCUCAGCAGUAAGAAAAAACAAAACACAGUACCAUGUGACUGUCAGAUGUAUACAAUGUGCAAUAUAACUUACAGUAUUUUACUAUUUAUGAUAAGUCUGUUAUUACCAGAUUAUGGCUAAUUUAAAUGUAUUCAACUACCAGUUGUUUAUAUGAAAAUAAAUUUGAAAUAAGUACUACA